RNAcentral lists this ribosomal RNA (986 nucleotides) under Gliocladiopsis aquaticus. RNAcentral's name for it is "SSU rRNA". It matches the Rfam family "Eukaryotic small subunit ribosomal RNA", at positions 80 to 1078 of the family's 1831-position model. The record is from RNAcentral. Lineage: Eukaryota; Fungi; Ascomycota; Sordariomycetes; Hypocreales; Nectriaceae.
ACAGCGACUGCGAAUGGCUCAUUAUAUAAGUUAUCGUUUAUUUGAUAGUACCUUACUACUUGGAUAACCGUGGUAAUUCUAGAGCUAAUACAUGCUAAAAAUCCCGACUUCGGAAGGGAUGUAUUUAUUAGAUUAAAAACCAAUGCCCUCCGGGGCUCACUGGUGAUUCAUGAUAACUCCUCGAAUCGCAUGGCCUUGCGCCGGCGAUGGUUCAUUCAAAUUUCUUCCCUAUCAACUUUCGAUGUUUGGGUAUUGGCCAAACAUGGUUGCAACGGGUAACGGAGGGUUAGGGCUCGACCCCGGAGAAGGAGCCUGAGAAACGGCUACUACAUCCAAGGAAGGCAGCAGGCGCGCAAAUUACCCAAUCCCGACUCGGGGAGGUAGUGACAAUAAAUACUGAUACAGGGCUCUUUUGGGUCUUGUAAUUGGAAUGAGUACAAUUUAAAUCCCUUAACGAGGAACAAUUGGAGGGCAAGUCUGGUGCCAGCAGCCGCGGUAAUUCCAGCUCCAAUAGCGUAUAUUAAGUUGUUGUGGUUAAAAGCUCGUAGUUGAACCUUGGGCCUGGCUGGCCGGUCCGCCUCACCGCGUGUACUGGUCCGGCCGGGCCUUUCCCUCUGUGGAACCCCAUGCCCUUCACUGGGUGUGGCGGGGAAACAGGACUUUUACUGUGAAAAAAUUAGAGUGCUCCAGGCAGGCCUAUGCUCGAAUACAUUAGCAUGGAAUAAUAGAAUAGGACGUGUGGUUCUAUUUUGUUGGUUUCUAGGACCGCCGUAAUGAUUAAUAGGGACAGUCGGGGGCAUCAGUAUUCAAUUGUCAGAGGUGAAAUUCUUGGAUUUAUUGAAGACUAACUACUGCGAAAGCAUUUGCCAAGGAUGUUUUCAUUAAUCAGGAACGAAAGUUAGGGGAUCGAAGACGAUCAGAUACCGUCGUAGUCUUAACCAUAAACUAUGCCGACUAGGGAUCGGACGGUGUUAUAUUUUGACCCG